This 423-nucleotide long non-coding RNA is filed under the name Salmo salar (Atlantic salmon). RNAcentral's name for it is "lncRNA (ENSSSAG00000120115.1, ENSSSAG00020076657.1, ENSSSAG00075025503.1)". Lineage: Eukaryota; Metazoa; Chordata; Actinopteri; Salmoniformes; Salmonidae. The record is from RNAcentral.
CGCUUUUUGAAGGUAGACAUGCGCGAGAUGGAGAGAUGGCGGAAGCAGUUAUUCUUCCUUCGGGAAGUGCACGGAUCCAUUCUGUGUUAGACAGAUGACAAUGAUGGGGGAGUGAACUACAGUUAUUUAAAAGGAAACUGCAGGUGUUGGUGCCUGUGGCUGCUGUGACUGUGGAAUGCAGGGUCCUGGUCCUUUGUUCCAUCCUGCACACCGCGUGAGAGACGAGACAUGCAGAGGCCCAUCCAAGCAGCGGUACGAUGUGAGCCAUAAGAGGUUGUGGGUGCUGCCUGGCCCCUGGCCCACUGGCUCCAUCCCCUCAGAGAGCAGAGAUCAGCCGUCUGCACAGAAUGAAAGGAGAGGAGGGCAGGGACCCAGCGGGAUGAAGGACACCAGCCUCCAGUCAAUGUGUUGAGGAGAUUCAGG